GACGAACGCUGGCGGCGUGCUUAACACAUGCAAGUCGAACGGAAAGGCCCGGCUUUUGUUGGUUGCUCGAGUGGCGAACGGGUGAGUAACACGUGAGUAACCUGCCCUUGACUUUGGGAUAACUUCAGGAAACUGGGGCUAAUACCGGAGAGGAGCGCCUGCUGCAUGGUGGGGUUUGGAAAGUUUCGGCCGUUGGGGGUGGACUCGCGGCUUAUCAGCUUGUUGGUGGGGGAGUGGCUUACCAGGGCUUUGACGGGUAGCCGGCCUGAGAGGGUGAACGCCCACAUUGGGACUGCGAUAGGGAGCAGACUCGUACGGGAGGCAGCAGGGGGGAAUAUUGCACAGUGGGCGGACGCCUGAUGCAGAAACGCCGCGUGCGGGAUGACGGCCUUCGGGUUGUGAACCGCUUUCGCCUGUGACGAAGCGUGAGUGACGGUAAUGGGUAAAGAAGCACCGGCUAACUACGUG
RNAcentral lists this ribosomal RNA (468 nucleotides) under uncultured bacterium. Its description in RNAcentral is "partial 16S ribosomal RNA". It matches the Rfam family "Bacterial small subunit ribosomal RNA", at positions 28 to 507 of the family's 1533-position model. The record is from RNAcentral.